UCCCUGGUGGCUCAAAUGGUAAAGCAUCUGCCUACAAUGCAGGAGACCCAAGUUCAAUUCCUGGGUUGGGAA
RNAcentral lists this transfer RNA (72 nucleotides) under Bos taurus (domestic cattle). It matches the Rfam family "tRNA". From Rfam's summary of the family: Transfer RNA (tRNA) molecules are approximately 80 nucleotides in length. Their secondary structure includes four short double-helical elements and three loops (D, anti-codon, and T loops). Lineage: Eukaryota; Metazoa; Chordata; Mammalia; Artiodactyla; Bovidae. The record is from Rfam by way of RNAcentral. RNAcentral also lists the same sequence under 1 other name.